Molecule: small nuclear RNA, 107 nt
Organism: Otolemur garnettii (small-eared galago)
Lineage: Eukaryota; Metazoa; Chordata; Mammalia; Primates; Galagidae
Source: Ensembl
GUGCUCACUUCAGCAGCACAUGUACUAAAAUUUGAACUGUACAGAGGGGAUUAGGAUGGCCCCUGGGCAAGGACGGUAAACAAAUUCGUGAAGUGCUAAAGAGUCUA